This 468-nucleotide ribosomal RNA is filed under the name uncultured bacterium. Its description in RNAcentral is "partial 16S ribosomal RNA". It matches the Rfam family "Bacterial small subunit ribosomal RNA", at positions 28 to 507 of the family's 1533-position model. The record is from RNAcentral.
GACGAACGCUGGCGGCGUGCUUAACACAUGCAAGUCGAACGGUGAAGCUCCAGCUUGCUGGAGUGGAUCAGUGGCGAACGGGUGCGUAACACGUGAGCAACCUGCCCCUGACUCUGGAAUAAGCGCUGGAAACGGCGUCUAAUACUGGAUACGAGAAGGGCUCGCAUUGGCACUUUCUGGACAUUUUUUCGGUUGGGGAUGGGCUCGCGGCCUAUCAGCUUGCUGGUGAGGUAAUGGCUCACCAAGGCGACGACGGGUAGCCGGCCUGAGAGGGCGACCGGCCACACUGGGACUGAGAGACGGACCAGACUCCUACGGGAGGCAGCAGUGGGGAAUAUUGCACAAUGGGCGAAAGCCUGAUGCAGCGACGCCGCGUGAGGGAUGACGGCCUUCGGGUUGUAAACCUCUUUCAGCAGGGAAGAAGCGAAAGUGACGGUACCUGCAGAAGAAGCACCGGCUAACUACGUG